CAGCAGCCGCGGGAAUACAGAGGGUGCGAGCGUUAAUCGGAUUUACUGGGCGUAAAGCGUGAGUAGGCGGCUUCUUAAGUCGGAUGUGAAAUCCCUGAGCUUAACUUAGGAAUUGCAUUCGAUACUGGGAAGCUAGAGUAUGGGAGAGGAUGGUAGAAUUCCAGGUGUAGCGGUGAAAUGCGUAGAGAUCUGGAGGAAUACCGAUGGCGAAGGCAGCCAUCUGGCCUAAUACUGACGCUGAGGUACGAAAGCAUGGGGAGCAAACAGGAUUAGAUACCCCUGUAGUCCCUGUCUCUUAUAC
Molecule: ribosomal RNA, 301 nt
Filed under: uncultured bacterium
Lineage: Bacteria
Description: partial 16S ribosomal RNA
Rfam family: Bacterial small subunit ribosomal RNA
Source: RNAcentral